AGUCUGGUGCCAGCACCCGCGGUAAUUCCAGCUCUUAUAGUGUAUAUUAAAGUUGCUGCAGUUAAAAAGCUCGUAGUCUAAUAUCUAGUGCGGCGCGUGCUGGCUCACUGCCAGCGCGACGCGGUGCUAUCUGUUCGAGAACUUCUUCUAUCUUAACUGGUCGGAGAUGCUGAUCGGACUCUUUCCUGAGAAAAAAUUAGAGUGUUUAAAGCAGGCUAAUGCAAUGAAUAUUACAGCUUGGAAUAAUAGAAUAAGACUGGACUGUCUUUUGUUGGUUAUGAACUUUAGUAAUGGUUAAUAUAAACAGUCGGGGGUAUUAGUAUUUAAGUGUCAGAGGUGAAAUUCUAUGAUUACUUAAAGACUAACUUAUGCGAAAGCAUUUACCAAGGAUGUUUUCAUUGAUCAAGAACGAAAGUUAGGGGAUCAAAGACGAUCAGAUACCGUCCUAGUCUUAACUAUAAACGAUUCCGACCAAGGAUCGGGGAGGUCUGCUAAGCCUUCUCGGCACUUUAUGAGAAAUCAAAGUCUUUGGGUUCUGGGGGAAGUACGGACACAAGUCUGAAACUUAAAGGAAUUGACGGAAGGGCACACAAGAUGUGGAGACUGCGGCUUAAUUUGACCCAACACGGGGAAACUUACUAGAGCAAGACUAAGGUUGGAUUGACAGAAUGAGAGCUCUUUCUUGAUUCUUAGGGUGGUGGUGCAUGGCCGUUCUUAGUUGGUGGAGUGAUUUGUCUGGUUAAUUCCGUUAACGAACGAGACUUUAACCUGCUAAACUAGGAGCCGGAUUACUCAUCUGGUUUCCUUCUUAGAGGGACUACGUGUUCAAGCACAAGGAAGUUUGAGGCAAUAACAGGUCUGUGAUGCCCCUAGACGUUCUAGGCCGCACGCGUUCUACAAUGACGUAUUCAACGAGUUUCUUCCUGGCCUGGAAAGGUUCGGGUAAUCUUCAUAGGAUACAGUCGUGCUUUGGGAUUGUCCUUUGCAAUUAUAGGACAUAAACUAGGAAUAUCUAGUAUAGGUGCGUCAUCAGCGCACCUAGAUUAAGUCCCUGCCCUUUGUACACACCGCCCGUCGCUCCUACCGAUUUUGAGUGAUUAGGUGAACCUUCUGGAUCAGCGUGGUCUUCAAGUCCAUGCUGAGAAGUUAAGUAAAUCAUUAUCACUUAGAGGAAGGAGAAGUCGUAACAAGGU
This 1193-nucleotide ribosomal RNA is filed under the name metagenome. RNAcentral's name for it is "SSU rRNA". It matches the Rfam family "Eukaryotic small subunit ribosomal RNA", at positions 558 to 1800 of the family's 1831-position model. The record is from RNAcentral.